CCUACGGUAGGCAGCAGUGAGGAAUAUUGGUCAAUGGCCGUAAGGCUGAACCAGCCAAGUAGCGUGAGGGAAGACUGCCCUAUGGGUUGUAAACCUCUUUUAUGCGGGGAUAAAGGUGUCCACGUGGGGAUGUUUGCAGGUAACGCAUGAAUAAGGACCGGCUAAUUCCGUGCCAGCAGCCGCGGUAGUACGGAAGGUCCGGGCGUUACCCGGAUUUAUGGGGUUUAACGGGCGCGUAGGCCGGUCUUUAAGCGUGCCGCGAAAUUUUGUGGCUCAACCAGGAGAGUGCGGAGCGAACUGGAGACCGUGAGUGCGCGGAAGGCAGGCGGAAGUCGUGGUGUAGCGGUGAAA
This 351-nucleotide ribosomal RNA is filed under the name uncultured bacterium. RNAcentral describes it as "partial 16S ribosomal RNA". It matches the Rfam family "Bacterial small subunit ribosomal RNA", at positions 338 to 686 of the family's 1533-position model. The record is from RNAcentral.